Molecule: ribosomal RNA, 576 nt
Filed under: Triticum aestivum (bread wheat)
Lineage: Eukaryota; Viridiplantae; Streptophyta; Magnoliopsida; Poales; Poaceae
Description: partial small subunit ribosomal RNA
Source: RNAcentral
AUGUACAGAGAGCUAUGCCACGGUCAGAUCCCGGCGGCGGCCACGGGGCUUUGGAAGGCAAAGAUCCCGCUCAAAAUUAAGGUCUUCCUUUGGCAACUUUGUCAAGAUCGCCUUCCUACCUCUAUUAACCUCGCUAAACGCAACGGCCCCGCCACUGGCCCCUGUGCGCUGUGUGGGGUCCCGGAAGAUGCUGACCACACCUUCUUCCUCUGCUCCCUGGCUCGUUUCGCUUGGAGCGCGGUCCGGGAGGCUGCGGGAGUGGAUUGGGAUCCACGCUCCCGACCCGAGCUCGUAUCUUCCUUAUCUGGGUUUCAAGGCGAGGCUCGUAGGGUCAUGUGGACUUGUGCGGCGGCUAUGCUAUGGGCUAUUUGGAAUACCCGUAACAAGUUUACUAUUGAGGGGGUGUUCCCCUCGCAUCCCGCUGACGUUAUCUUCAAAUGCAUCGUUUUCUUGCAGCAAUGGGCAUCGCUGGGAAGACAACAGGACUCUGAUCUCCACCGCCAAGCUAUCUGUCGUCUACACGCCGUCUACUCCGAGGCUCGAGCUUCGUCGCCUGCUCAACUGGAUGCCGCAUAG